Molecule: ribosomal RNA, 215 nt
Filed under: uncultured bacterium
Lineage: Bacteria
Description: partial 16S ribosomal RNA
Rfam family: Bacterial small subunit ribosomal RNA
Source: RNAcentral
ACUCCUACGGGAGGCAGCAGUGGGGAAUCUUGGACAAUGGGCGCAAGCCUGAUCCAGCCAUGCCGCGUGAGUGAUGAAGGCCUUAGGGUCGUAAAGCUCUUUCGCCAGGGAUGAUAAUGACAGUACCUGGUAAAGAAACCCGCCGUCAUACUCCGUGCCAAGCAGCCGCGGUAAUACGGAGGGGGUUAGCGUUGUUCGGAAUUACUGGGCGUAAA